CUCUCCCUCUCUGUCACCGACAGCACCAAGCGCUCCCGCACCAUUCCCGGUGCCUCCAGCAACCGAUCCCUCAACCGGCUCCGGCCGCGCCGACAGGCCGCUACCGGAAAUCUCCUCACCUGGUCCCACCGCUAAACACCUCCGCCCCACCGCCCACCACUUCCGCUACAGGCCGCGGGUCCGUCACCUUUUUCUGUCCGCCGUUGUCUAGGGACCAACAAGCGGUACGGAGCCAAGGAACAAGUCCGGACACCGAGAGGUUCGGUACGGCCUCGGUCCGGGAUCAGUUUCCAGAAGGCGAAGGAACUGCCUGGUUCGACCAGAGGCUUUCCUGUCUGCUUCAGUGCUAUACUGGACUGAGCAUUUUCAGAAGAUAACAAGAGAGAACCACUUUUAGGACUUGUGCAAUGCUGACAGCCUAAAUGUGAUACGUCUAUGACAGGCCCAACUUCUUGGAGUCAACUUUCUCAUAACAAAAUGCUGCUGAAACAAGAACCUUAUUAGGAUCUUCUACAAAAUAAAAGAGUGGAGCAUUAUCAAAUAUAAUGUGAAUAAACAAACACUGUAAACAGA
This is a long non-coding RNA of Stegostoma tigrinum, 573 nucleotides long. RefSeq lists it as uncharacterized. NCBI's taxonomy places the organism in Eukaryota, Metazoa, Chordata, Chondrichthyes, Orectolobiformes, Stegostomatidae. The record is from RefSeq and is a predicted model, not a curated record. The transcript has 2 exons.